AAACUAAGGGACAAAGGGAGGGGGGGGAUGACCUCUCUGAUCCCUACAGCCUCCAAUUCUGUGACGCAACUUCCAUCACUGCAGGGAGUGGGGUUCUGCCAACAUACCUCCAUCUUGAUCCCUCAGAAAAAAAACUGCCACAAGGAGACAUUUAUUUGCAAGGUGUCAUGGAAGAUUGGCUUUCAUCAGUGUUUUACAGGCAUUCAAAGUGCUACUAAAGAGGAUUGUUUAAGAUUCUCGAGCUUGGCCGAACCCAGAGGUGCAUCCUGUCCCUUUUUCCCUGGCAAGUUCUGGAAUGGGCUAGUGGAGUCAGGAGUCAGAUGCGUGGUCUUACCCAAUUAG
Molecule: long non-coding RNA, 342 nt
Filed under: Ornithorhynchus anatinus (platypus)
Lineage: Eukaryota; Metazoa; Chordata; Mammalia; Monotremata; Ornithorhynchidae
Description: lncRNA (ENSOANG00000033913.2)
Source: RNAcentral